Non-coding RNA from Dermacentor andersoni, 1177 nucleotides. Lineage: Eukaryota; Metazoa; Arthropoda; Arachnida; Ixodida; Ixodidae. The record is from RefSeq and is a predicted model, not a curated record.
GUAUAACAUACGAAACACUAAUCUAUUAGGAUAUACAUUUACAAUGUAGCAAAAGAAAUGUGUGAAAUCUAAAGAAACAUUCAUCUUUUCAGAUAAUUAUAUAGUAUUUAUAAAAUAAAUUCUUCUUAAUGCACAACAAAGCUAAGAUGCAUAUUAUAUGUAUUAUACAUCCCAAAGGAUCACAUUUCAAAAAUAAGAAAAAACAACAUGUCUAGCAUGUACACUCGCCCACAAAAUGUUACAGGGUGCGCAAGCGUGUGGCAAAACGACCUUUCUUCCCUUCUAGCUGUGCACCCAUGGUAUCGAGUUUGCACGCAUGCGCGUCCCUCUGAGACUGCAAGCGUGCAUGUUUCUGCACUUCCUCCUUGUGCGCCGGUGAUAUCCGAAUGUAGCCGUGAAGUGCCCCUCUUGCGAUGGGCGCGAAACUAUGUGAAGCCUGAGCUUGCACGUGCCGCUGUGGCUGCUUUUUGUCGAGUCACGAGCGCCAACGCAUACGGCCCAGUGGCGAACCCAGCAAGUAAUUUUUUUUUAAUGAGCUGCACCAUUUUGUGUCCAAUCUUUGUUGUUUCUUUUUAUGAAUGGGGCAUUCUCCCACAGAAGAGCAUGUCAGAAAAUGCCCCCUAUAGAAGGAGACAGUGUCAACUCCCAUUGAAGACCAGCAGUUAGGACACAUGGACCUGUGACAGAAAAGCUGCCGGAUGGAUCUGGGACAGCGACGCUGGCCUGUACUUUCCUAUCGUCUCCAUUAUCCAUGGCAACCUGCUUUCAAGUCAUAGAAGGAAAAGGUGGAGAAAGACACACGCAGUCACUUCAUUGCAAGGACAGGUACAGAGACUUGUGGCCACCUGAAAAAGAAGCAUUUCUACUUCGUCUGUCACCGGUCUGGAAGUUAUGCUUCACAAGCUACAAGUAAACAAAAGCUGAAGCGGCCUUCAAGUGUCAAGUGUGGAAAAAGAUGUUUUGCGGCAAUGGCUGUGACUGAAGACAACACAGGGCACUAAACUUCAGUAAAAAAAAAUUUUAUGAGCCGCACAUUCUAGCAGACAAAAUAACCUGCAAGUACAUUGCUGGAGAAAAAGAAUGUCUCAUGUUGGUCUUGCAUAUAUAAGUUACACUGUUCUACAAUACGCUUGGACGAAAAUGAAAAGAAAAUGGUGGCACCUAUGGUUUGGAAAAU